This 253-nucleotide ribosomal RNA is filed under the name uncultured bacterium. RNAcentral's name for it is "partial 16S ribosomal RNA". It matches the Rfam family "Bacterial small subunit ribosomal RNA", at positions 524 to 776 of the family's 1533-position model. The record is from RNAcentral.
UACAGAGGGUGCGAGCGUUAAUCGGAAUUACUGGGCGUAAAGGGCGCGUAGGCGGUUUAUCAAGUGAGAUGUGAAAUCCCCGGGCUUAACCUGGGAACUGCAUCUUAAACUGAUAGGCUGGAGUACUGUAGAGGAUAGUGGAAUUUCCGGUGUAGCGGUGAAAUGCGUAGAGAUCGGAAGGAACAUCAGUGGCGAAGGCGACUGUCUGGACAGAUACUGACGCUGAGGCGCGAAAGCGUGGGGAUCAAACAGG